RNAcentral lists this transfer RNA (69 nucleotides) under Vibrio chagasii. RNAcentral describes it as "Pseudo tRNA". It matches the Rfam family "tRNA", at positions 8 to 63 of the family's 71-position model. From Rfam's summary of the family: Transfer RNA (tRNA) molecules are approximately 80 nucleotides in length. Their secondary structure includes four short double-helical elements and three loops (D, anti-codon, and T loops). The record is from RNAcentral. RNAcentral also lists the same sequence under 1 other name. Lineage: Bacteria; Pseudomonadati; Pseudomonadota; Gammaproteobacteria; Vibrionales; Vibrionaceae.
UGGUGGAAUUGGUAGACACAAGGGAUUUAAAAUCCCUCGGCGUUCGCGCUGUGCCGGUUCAAGUCCGGC